RNAcentral lists this ribosomal RNA (415 nucleotides) under uncultured bacterium. RNAcentral describes it as "bacterial SSU rRNA". It matches the Rfam family "Bacterial small subunit ribosomal RNA", at positions 355 to 786 of the family's 1533-position model. The record is from RNAcentral.
UGGGGAAUAUUGCACAAUGGGCGCAAGCCUGAUGCAGCAACGCCGCGUGAAGGAAGACGGUUUUCGGAUUGUAAACUUCUGUUCUUAGUGAAGAAGAAUGACGUAGCUAGGGAGCAAGCCACGGCUAACUACGUGCCAGCAGCCGCGGUAAUACGUAGGUGGCAAGCGUUGUCCGGAAUUACUGGGUGUAAAGGGAGCGCAGGCGGGAGCAAAGUCAGUUGUGAAAUCCAUGGGCUUAACCCGUGAACUGCAGUUGAAAACUGUUCUUCUUGAGUGAAGUAGAGGUUGGCGGAAUUCCGAGUGUAGCGGUGAAAUGCGUAGAUAUUCGGAGGAACACCGGUGGCGAAGGCGGCCAACUGGGCUUUUACUGACGCUGAGGCUCGAAAAGUGUGGGGAGCAAACAGGAUUAGAUACC